GACGAACGCUGGCGGCGUGCCUAAUACAUGCAAGUCGAACGCAUUUUCUUUCACCGUAGCUUGCUACACCGACAGAAAAUGAGUGGCGAGCGGGUGAGUAACACGUGGGUAACCUGCCCAUCAGCGGGGGAUAACACUUGGAAACAGGUGCUAAUACCGCAUAAUUCCAUUUACCGCAUGGUAGAUGGAUGAAAGGCGCUUUUGCGUCACUGAUGGAUGGACCCGCGGUGCAUUAGCUAGUUGGUGGGGUAACGGCCUACCAAGGCUGCGAUGCAUAGCCGACCUGAGAGGGUGAUCGGCCACACUGGGACUGAGACACGGCCCAGACUCCUACGGGAGGCAGCAGUAGGGAAUCUUCGGCAAUGGACGCAAGUCUGACCGAGCAACGCCGCGUGAGUGAAGAAGGUUUUCGGAUCGUAAAACUCUGUUGUUAGAGAAGAACAAGGAUGAGAGUGGAAAGUUCAUCCCUUGACGGUAUCUAACCAGAAAGCCACGGCUAACUACGUG
Molecule: ribosomal RNA, 507 nt
Filed under: uncultured bacterium
Lineage: Bacteria
Description: partial 16S ribosomal RNA
Rfam family: Bacterial small subunit ribosomal RNA
Source: RNAcentral